UAGAUGAGGGAAAAUUGAGGAGAGGAGGAGAGGAGGUGGAGGGCAACAUGAUGUCUAAACCUAUUAUCUAAACAACAGGAGAGGAGAGGUUAAUAUGAGGAGUGACCGCUCUCAUGUAAAAGCCAAGAAAAUCCUGAACUGCCUCUUCAUGAACUACCAGUGACCCAUGUUCCUACAAAGAUUCAUACAGUGCAAAACAAGUGUUUGAAAUACAGUGAUGAAAGA
This is a long non-coding RNA of Lates calcarifer (barramundi perch), 225 nucleotides long. RefSeq lists it as uncharacterized. NCBI's taxonomy places the organism in Eukaryota, Metazoa, Chordata, Actinopteri, Centropomidae. The transcript has 3 exons. The record is from RefSeq and is a predicted model, not a curated record.